RNAcentral lists this ribosomal RNA (236 nucleotides) under uncultured bacterium. Its description in RNAcentral is "partial 16S ribosomal RNA". It matches the Rfam family "Bacterial small subunit ribosomal RNA", at positions 112 to 334 of the family's 1533-position model. The record is from RNAcentral.
AACGCGUAGGUAAUCUACCCUUAUAUUUGGGAUAACAUUGGGAAACUGAUGCUAAUACCGAAUGGUCUUCUUUGCUGCGGGGCGAAGGAGUAAAGGUGGCCUCUUCAUGAAAGCUACCGUGUAGGGAUGAGCCUGCGUACCAUUAGCUAGUAGGUGGGGUAAUGGCCCACCUAGGCUACGAUGGUUAGCGGGUCUGAGAGGAUGAUCCGCCACACUGGAACUGGAACACGGACCAG